RNAcentral lists this long non-coding RNA (1211 nucleotides) under Homo sapiens (human). Its description in RNAcentral is "non-protein coding lnc-ZFHX4-3:6". Lineage: Eukaryota; Metazoa; Chordata; Mammalia; Primates; Hominidae. The record is from RNAcentral.
CAGAGUGGCUACAUCACAGAGCCUCUGACCCUGAGAUCCAGCCCCAGAACUUGCCAGUCAAGAUGAAAAACUUCUUCUAAUGGAAUCCAGCUUGAAAGCUACUCAAGAGCAGCUAACUGAGCAAAUAGCAGAAACAGUUCGCCAAGAACAGAACAGUAGAAAACCCCAGGCAGAGCUGAAGACAGUGACAGAAGGGAUUAUUGCUUCUGAAGAAGAAAAAAAAUGAUUACAAGACUGUCCUCACACUGUCACCCAGGCUGGAGUGCACUGGCGCGAUCUCGGCUCACUGCAACCUCUGCCUCCUGGGUUCAAGCGAUUCUCCUGCCUUAGCCGUGAUGUUCAGUUUCUAAUACUGUAAUCACCUAUUUUACCGUCUUUUACAACUUCGUUGUAGGAGGUGUGAAAGAGGAGGGAAAUUGUGUUGGGAAGAGGAGAUUAGGACAUCAAGAGACACCAAGAGUAACCAUGUACAGAGAAAAACAUCAUAUGAAGACACAGCAAGAAGGUGGCCAUCUGUAAGCCAAAGAGAGGCCUCAGAAGAAACCAAAUCUGCUAACACAAUCAUGGACUUUCAGCCUCCAGGACUGUGUGAAAAUAAAUUUCUGCUGUUUAAGCCACCCCAGUGUCUGGAAUUCUAUGGCAGUUUGAUGGAGAGACUCAAAUUAACAAAGAACUGUGGAAUAUUUCUAGCCAAAAGCCACUGGGGAACUGAUUCCUGCCAACAACCACUGAACUUCGAAGUAGAUCCAUCAGCAACUGGACCCUCAGAUGCGACCCAUGUAUGACACCUUGAUUGGGAUCCUGUGAGAGACCCUCAGGCAGAGCACCUAGUUAAGUCAAACUCAGAUCGCUGACUCCCAGAAACUGUAAGCACUCUCCUGCAUACCUGUCACCAAACCUCCAGGUCAAUCUCACAUUUACUCUUGAAGAAAUGGAGUCGAAGAUGAAAUAGAAAAUAAUUAGAUAAUGAAAUGCUAAUAUAGGAAUUGAAUGUCAGCUGCAGUGCUCAGAAGCAUAAGAUUGUGAUAAAUGUUUUGGAGGAAAAUAGAAAGAAGGCUGUGGUUUGAAACGUCUCAACAAACUUCCAAUCAUGCAAAACUUGAGGGAACGAGGAACAGCAAAGCUUGGCACUUUGGAAGCUUGAUAACAUCACAGCAUGGAAGAAAAGUGGAAGGAAGAAAAAGAAAGAAAGAAAGAAGGAAGGAAGGAAG